RNAcentral lists this unclassified non-coding RNA (230 nucleotides) under plant metagenome. RNAcentral's name for it is "partial contains small subunit ribosomal RNA, internal transcribed spacer 1, and 5.8S ribosomal RNA". The record is from RNAcentral.
UCUCCGUAGGUGAACCUGCGGAGGGAUCAUUACAGAGUUCAUGCCCUCCGGGUAGAUCUCCCACCCAUUGCUAUAGCUACUCUCGUUGCUUUGGCGGGCCGCUGGGCCCUGCCCGGCCGCCGGCCCCGGCUGGCGCGUGCCCGCCAGAGACCUCACAAACUCUGAAUGUUAGUGUCGUCCGAGUAACUAUACAAUCGUUAAAACUUUCAACAACGGAUCUCUUGGUUCUG